GUUACUGGUCCAAGUUCCAAGUUUCACUGCUUGUUUCUGACAGAGCCAAGAUUUGAAAUGGCCUAGUGCUCUGUGCUCAGCUGUCCUCCCAGCCACCAUGGCAGAUGGAUGCUCUUGACAACUUGAAGCAGAAGAUAAUAGAGAAAAGAGAGUAUCUGCUUCGCAGAGGCAGCCUACAGGAUGGGUCAGCGCAGAUGACGGCGCAUGGUAGAAAGCCUACAGGUGAAAUUCAACCCUAUGGACAAGGAACUGGAAGUCAAAAGCGUGGAAGGAGGGGGACGAGGAAAUAGGCUUUUGCAGUUGUCAAGGAGGCGUAACUGGACUCUGAGUAGUGGCCACGGUGUUGGAGACAUGUCUCUGAGGAAUUUUGUGGAGGUGCUACUCGACUUGCCGAUAGACGUGAAGGAAGGAAGUGAAACAUCAGCUCUGCAAUAAUACACCAGAGGCCAUGGUGGAGCACAAAAGCGAGCGACUCGGAGUGGAGACAAUUAAGAAAUGUUCCUUAGAGGAAGAGAUUCUUGUAUAUAUGAAUAAUAGAAGCCUGCUCCUAUUUUUUUUUUUUUUUUACUGUGGGAAACAAGAGGCUGUAGGGAGAAGUACAGAUAAAGGAUUUUUGUACCAAAUGUUCUUCUAACAAGACCAAGUUGCAGUUGAGCUGUUUAUAUCCCUUUGACUAUAAAGAGCCGUAAUUAUACGCAACACUGAAAUGCUAAGUGAUUCAAUCGCCUCAAAUUUGUUAAGUUCCCAUUCUUUCACUGUGUGCCUGUUUUACGUCCAUCCUCUGCAUCAAGACAUUUUUAGAUUUGUUUUAAACCUGGAAUUGUUUUAUUCAAAGUGAGCACAUUCAAAACUAUUUCUCCUUGAUUCCUGGAAACAUUUUUGCUCUUCUCAGCAGUUCUGCACGAUGACCUUCUAAGGGUCCUGUUAAGCGAACUCUCUCUUUAGACAAGGUUUCAUAUCAGUUUUUCGCACUUACUAGAGGGGGCAUUUUUUCCUCCAAAUCAUCUAAUGGUCCUCUCUAUGAAUAGUAUUCUGUGAUUUUGAGUCUUAAGCUAUUCUAUUUUUAAAAAGUCACUGGCUGGAGUAUUUUUUUUUUAAAGAAUUACUUCAUUUUUAAAAAGAUACUGCAUAUUUGCUGCUUGUCUCAGUGAUCUGCUUUGCUUUUCCAAGCUCUUCACUACCUUAUUUCCUUAUCUCCUAGCCGUCUCACAUUGUCUGCUUGCCUUUUAGGAAAACAUUCUAGUUUGUUGUUAUCUAUAAUAAAGGAAUACAAAGUUAUAAAUGCCCAUAGGUGGUGGUUUGCCCAGAUAUGAAUUGCCUACUGUGAAUCAGUGAAAGACCGCUGAGUAUGUAUGAAAGGGGACUCCAGGUAGAGUCAGACCACACCGUGUCAGAGAGAGAGUCUGCGUGACGCCACGUACACAGCGCUCUCAUCUCUGGAGCAGAAGAUGACUACAGGAAGGCCCUUUUCACACUCAGUCUGCUUAGUUUUACACUCCUGAGUUUGAAUGCCUGAAUGAAGAACUCUGAAAAAAAAUUGUGACUUAGAGGAAAGACAGAGGUUUUGGAAGAAUUCAUUUACUCUAU
This is a long non-coding RNA of Camelus dromedarius (Arabian camel), 1587 nucleotides long. RefSeq lists it as uncharacterized. NCBI's taxonomy places the organism in Eukaryota, Metazoa, Chordata, Mammalia, Artiodactyla, Camelidae. The record is from RefSeq and is a predicted model, not a curated record. The transcript has 3 exons.